GCUUCAAUCAUUUCGACAUCAAACAACACUUCGCAACCUUUUCAACAUCAGUAUUUCUCUUUUCAGUCUCCACAACAACAACACAAAAUUUGAACUUCCAUGACUCAACCAUGACAGAGAGUAGUUCAUCAGGCUCAGGCAAACCACAGUUGUAGCCACAGCUGCCCUGGGGCAGGCUGACAGAAGCAAAGCUGACACAUCGCGCCAUCGUCCCCUCUGGCCAACACCAGUACGCGGUAGGGUAAAGUGUCUUGCCCAAGGACACAACAAUCAGGACAGAGAGAGCUGUGGAUCGAACCAGCAACCUUCCGGUUACAGAUGAGCUUCCCAACCCCCUGAACCAGCACUGCACGAUGGAAACACUGGUCAAGUCAAUAGAGGAAUUCCCACCUACAGAAGAAUGGAAGGAGAAAACAUCAGAGUUGAAUGCAAAUUUUCU
Long non-coding RNA from Oreochromis aureus, 439 nucleotides. RefSeq lists it as uncharacterized. Lineage: Eukaryota; Metazoa; Chordata; Actinopteri; Cichliformes; Cichlidae. The record is from RefSeq and is a predicted model, not a curated record. The transcript has 3 exons.